This 242-nucleotide long non-coding RNA is filed under the name Elaeis guineensis (African oil palm). RNAcentral's name for it is "long non-coding RNA (EGUI_LNC052867)". The record is from RNAcentral. Lineage: Eukaryota; Viridiplantae; Streptophyta; Magnoliopsida; Arecales; Arecaceae.
UAAGGACAUAAAAAAUCCUUUCAUACUCAAGAAUAAUUCUCAAUUUUUAAUACCAACUAUCAAAGUUGGGUCUCAUAAGCUUAUCACCAUCUAACAGUGAUCGAACCGAUAAUGUGGCGGCCAUAAUUACAUUAAAAAAAAAAUAAAACCUAAUCAGUAUAUGAAUUGAUUAAGUCUAAAGACAUAGACUUUAGUCUAAAAGUUCUUCUACUAUUUCAUACGAAUUAUAAGUCUCUACCUCC